This is a non-coding RNA of Pelobates cultripes (western spadefoot toad), 224 nucleotides long. Lineage: Eukaryota; Metazoa; Chordata; Amphibia; Anura; Pelobatidae. The record is from the annotation of a GenBank genome assembly.
UGAUUGUUUCAUUAAAUCCAUAAACAACACACUCAGUUAGCCCUAUUAUUUUUAUUUUUAAUGUUGCCUAUGGACGGGCAACAUAUUCAGUACUUUUAAAUGACCAUACAAAACAUAUCAAACAAACAUGAUUGACAAGCUGAAUUCAAAAUAAUCAAAAGGUGAUGAAGGUCCUGUCCAUGUGAGCUUACAGUCUAAAGCAGUGGCGAAUCCAGAGCCUGAUC